UGGGGAAUUUUGCACAAUGGAGGAAACUCUGAUGCAGCGACGCCGCGUGAGUGAUGAAGAUCUUCGGAUUGUAAAACUCUGUCCUUAGUGAAGAUAAUGACAGUAACUAAGAAGCAAGCCCUGGCUAAAUACGUGCCAGCAGCCGCGGUAAUACGUAUGGGGCAAGCGUUGUCCGGAAUUAUUGGGCGUAAAGGGUACGUAGGCGGUUUAAUAAGUCCUAAUUAAAAGGCUAUGGCUCAACCAUAGUAUGGUUAGGAAACUGUUGAACUUGAGUAGAUGAGGGGAAAGUGGAAUUCCAUGUGUCGCGGUGAAAUGCGUAGAUAUAUGGAGGAACACCAAUGGCGAAGGCAACUUUCUGGAAUCAAACUGACGCUGAGGUACGAAGGCGUGGGGAGCAAACAGG
This 403-nucleotide ribosomal RNA is filed under the name Fusobacteriota bacterium. RNAcentral's name for it is "Fusobacteria bacterium partial 16S ribosomal RNA". It matches the Rfam family "Bacterial small subunit ribosomal RNA", at positions 355 to 776 of the family's 1533-position model. Lineage: Bacteria; Fusobacteriati; Fusobacteriota. The record is from RNAcentral.